CUUAUGCCGGCGACCGGCGGACGGGUGCGUAACGCGUAUGUAACCUACCUUUGACAGGGGGAUAACAUCGAGAAAUUGGUACUAAUACCCCAUAACAUCACCGGAGGCAUCUUCGGUGGUUGAAAACUCAGGUGGGUCAGAGAUGGACAUGCGUUGUAUUAGCUAGUUGGUGAGGUAACGGCUCACCAAGGCGACGAUACAUAGGGGGACUGAGACGGUCAACCCCCCACAUUGGUACUGAGACACGGACCAAACUCCUACGGGAGGCAGCAG
This 273-nucleotide ribosomal RNA is filed under the name uncultured bacterium. RNAcentral's name for it is "partial 16S ribosomal RNA". It matches the Rfam family "Bacterial small subunit ribosomal RNA", at positions 78 to 354 of the family's 1533-position model. The record is from RNAcentral.